CCUUUUUAAAACUGCGGCAGUAUACACUGGAAAGGCAAAAAUCCUUACCAGAUAAAGAUUCCGUGCAAGAAAACAAGAAUGUGAUGCCCAGGGUGCCAAACCCCUGGCUCCAGAGUCCCGUCGUCGGGCUCCCCACACACAGAAACCGCUCACCGUAUUUCAGGGACCUACGGACUGCCCGGGAAAAAAGGAUUGAAAGAGGACCCUUCGGAUAUGACCCGGUUUUGCAGUCGGACUCAUUCCUCAAAGAAGAUUGUCUUCCAACACCAAGUCUUCUUUCCUUUCGGGGAAGCCAGCUCCUGUCUAGGCUGAAUGACUCUUCUGAUCUUUGACACUGGCAGAAGUGGACAAGGCAUGUUCUGUCAUUUCCACUGAUACUCAACGAUGUUCUCAGUAUGUUUACAAAGAUAAAGUACUUACUUAUCAAUCAACUUUA
This 436-nucleotide long non-coding RNA is filed under the name Rattus norvegicus (Norway rat). RNAcentral describes it as "long non-coding RNA NONRATT024506". Lineage: Eukaryota; Metazoa; Chordata; Mammalia; Rodentia; Muridae. The record is from RNAcentral.